GCAUAUCAAUAAGCGGAGGAAAAGAAACUAACAAGGAUUCCCCUAGUAGCGGCGAGCGAAGCGGGAAGAGCUCAAAUUUAUAAUCUGGCACCUUCGGUGUCCGAGUUGUAAUCUCUAGAAGUGUUUUCCGCGUUGGACCGCACACAAGUCUGUUGGAAUACAGCGGCACAGUGGUGAUACCCCCGUACACGGUGCGGACGCCCAGCGCUUUGUGAUACACUUUCAAUGAGUCGAGUUGUUUGGGAAUGCAGCUCAAAUUGGGUGGUAAAUUCCAUCUAAAGCUAAAUAUUGGCGAGAGACCGAUAGCGAACAAGUACCGUGAGGGAAAGAUGAAAAGCACUUUGGAAAGAGAGUUAACAGUACGUGAAAUUGUUGGAAGGGAAACGCUUGAAGUCAGACUUGCUUGCCGGAGCUUGCUUCGGUUUGCAGGCCAGCAUCAGUUUUCCGGGGUGGAUAAUGGUGGUUUGAAGGUAGCAGCCUCGGCUGUGUUAUAGCUUUCCACUGGAUACAUCCUGGGGGACUGAGGAACGCAGCGUGCUUUUUGCGAAGGUUUCGACCUUUUCACGCUUAGGAUGCUGGUGUAAUGACUUUAAACGACCCGUCUUGAAACACGGACC
RNAcentral lists this ribosomal RNA (617 nucleotides) under Rhodotorula glutinis. Its description in RNAcentral is "eukaryotic LSU rRNA". It matches the Rfam family "Eukaryotic large subunit ribosomal RNA", at positions 38 to 667 of the family's 3401-position model. The record is from RNAcentral. Lineage: Eukaryota; Fungi; Basidiomycota; Microbotryomycetes; Sporidiobolales; Sporidiobolaceae.